Molecule: ribosomal RNA, 466 nt
Filed under: Escherichia coli
Lineage: Bacteria; Pseudomonadati; Pseudomonadota; Gammaproteobacteria; Enterobacterales; Enterobacteriaceae
Description: bacterial SSU rRNA
Rfam family: Bacterial small subunit ribosomal RNA
Source: RNAcentral
UAAUUCGAUGCACGCUAGACCUUACCUGGUCUUGACAUCACAGAAGUUUUAGAGAUGAGUAUGUCCUUCGGGACCUGUGAGACAGAUGCUGCAUGCUGUCGUCAGCUCGUGUUGUGAAAUGUUGGGUUAAGUCCCGCAACGAGCGCAACCCUUAUCCUUUGUUGCCAGCGGUCCGGCCGGGAACUCAAAGGAGACUGCCAGUGAUAAACUGGAGGAAGGUGGGGAUGACGUCAAGUCAUCAUGGCCCUUACGACCAGGGCUACACACGUGCUACAAUGGCGCAUACAAAGAGAAGCGACCUCGCGAGAGCAAGCGGACCUCAUAAAGUGCGUCGUAGUCCGGAUUGGAGUCUGCAACUCGACUCCAUGAAGUCGGAAUCGCUAGUAAUCGUGGAUCAGAAUGCCACGGUGAAUACGUUCCCGGGCCUUGUACACACCGCCCGUCACACCAUGGGAGUGGGUGCAAA